UGGAACAGGCGGAGGACAAUGGCUGACCUUAGUGGAGUGUCACAACGGCUGGGAAGCUGGAUGAAGGCUGCAGCAGAAAAGGGUCUCCUGUCGUCUUGGACUUCAUGCCGCUGGAUCCUGAUCCAGAUCUGUCAAGGACUGUGGGGUGGCCGUCUGUGCACCAGUCUCCACACGUUAAACAAAGUCACGCACAGGCGUCCUCCAUAAAGGGAAUAGCAACCUGGAGACACCCCAUGGUCAGCCAUGACUGAAGGGGGCCUAAGAAGAAUCGUGGCUCUCAGCUG
This is a long non-coding RNA of Amblyraja radiata (thorny skate), 284 nucleotides long. RefSeq lists it as uncharacterized. The transcript is spliced from 3 exons. Lineage: Eukaryota; Metazoa; Chordata; Chondrichthyes; Rajiformes; Rajidae. The record is from RefSeq and is a predicted model, not a curated record.